UGGUCCGAUUUGAUUAAAAUUUUCUUUGAGCAACCACCAUAUCAAGGGGCGAAUUUGUCACUAGGCAAGUUUUUUUCGCGGCAAUCAGAAACAACAGAUACAGCCAAAAUAUAUGUUCGCAAAGCUCAAGAACGGCUGAACCGAUUAUU
This is a long non-coding RNA of Rhagoletis zephyria (snowberry fruit fly), 149 nucleotides long. RefSeq lists it as uncharacterized. The record is from RefSeq and is a predicted model, not a curated record. Lineage: Eukaryota; Metazoa; Arthropoda; Insecta; Diptera; Tephritidae.